This 524-nucleotide ribosomal RNA is filed under the name uncultured bacterium. RNAcentral describes it as "partial 16S ribosomal RNA". It matches the Rfam family "Bacterial small subunit ribosomal RNA", at positions 28 to 523 of the family's 1533-position model. The record is from RNAcentral.
GACGAACGCUGGCGGCGUGCCUAAUACAUGCAAGUCGAGCGCAGGAAACUGACGGAACUCUUCGGAGGGAAGGCAGUGGAAUGAGCGGCGGACGGGUGAGUAACACGUAAGGAACCUGCCUCAAGGAUUGGGAUAACUCCGAGAAAUCGGAGCUAAUACCGGAUAGUUCAUCGGACCGCAUGGUCCGUUGAUGAAAGGCGCUCCGGCGUCACCUUGAGAUGGCCUUGCGGUGCAUUAGCUAGUUGGUGGGGUAACGGCCCACCAAGGCGACGAUGCAUAGCCGACCUAAGAGGGUGAUUGGCCACACUGGGACUGAGACACGGCCCAGACUCCUACGGGAGGCAGCAGUAGGGAAUCUUCCACAAUGGACGAAAGUCUGAUGGAGCAACGCCGCGUGAGUGAUGAAGGUUUUCGGAUCGUAAAACUCUGUUGUAAGGGAAGAACACGUACGAGAGGAAAUGCUCGUACCUUGACGGUACCUUACGAGAAAGCCACGGCUAACUACGUGCCAGCCGCCGCGGUAA